UAAUCAUUUGCCUCCUAAUUAGAGGCACGUAUGAACGGGAAACCGAGAAUAACCCUGUCUCUUUUCUGCCCAUAUAAACUUAUCUCUAGGUGAAAAAGCCUAGAUUAUUAUAAAAGACAAAAAGUCCCCGUCGAACUUUAAUCUCCCCUAGCCAAACCACAUCACAACCUAUUACGAUUUUCGUUGGGGCGACAAAGGAAUACAAACUUCCUACACACAUACGACAUCAAGUCACAUAUUAAAAGACCCUACCACUGAUCCUAGGACACA
RNAcentral lists this ribosomal RNA (270 nucleotides) under Eunicidae environmental sample. RNAcentral describes it as "partial large subunit ribosomal RNA". The record is from RNAcentral. Lineage: Eukaryota; Metazoa; Annelida; Polychaeta; Eunicida; Eunicidae.